This 253-nucleotide ribosomal RNA is filed under the name uncultured bacterium. RNAcentral describes it as "partial 16S ribosomal RNA". It matches the Rfam family "Bacterial small subunit ribosomal RNA", at positions 524 to 776 of the family's 1533-position model. The record is from RNAcentral.
UACGUAGGUGGCAAGCGUUACUCGGAAUCACUAGGCGUAAAGCGCAGGUAGGUGGUUGGAUAAGUUCUUUGUGAAAGCUCCUGGCUUAACUGGGAGAGGUCAAGGAAUACUGUUCGGCUAGAGUAUGGUAGGGGUAACUGGAAUUCCCGGUGUAGCGGUGAAAUGCGUAGAUAUCGGGAGGAAUACCUAUGGCGAAAGCAAGUUACUGGGCCAUUACUGACACUGAGCUGCGAAAGCUAGGGGAGCAAACAGG